Long non-coding RNA from Neopelma chrysocephalum (saffron-crested tyrant-manakin), 394 nucleotides. RefSeq lists it as uncharacterized. The transcript is spliced from 3 exons. The record is from RefSeq and is a predicted model, not a curated record. Lineage: Eukaryota; Metazoa; Chordata; Aves; Passeriformes; Pipridae.
UUGCCAAAGCAAAAUAAGAUGGAGGAGGAAUUGGAAAGACAUUUACUGUAAUCUAUAAUUUCAGGGUUGGAAAAAAACACCAGGAAUUGGAAAAAAGAAGUUACAGAGACAGAAAAAAAAAGUAGGUGUCUGGCUCUUGAGAAACAACUGAGGAGUUCAUGACUGCAUAAAAAGGAUGUAUCUUCUGAAUUUCUCCUAUCUUGAAGGAAACCACAUUUUCUACAUUGUUUUGACUACAAGAAGAACAGUGUAAGGAGCCCAUUCAGGAAAAAUUUAUUUGAGGAACUAUAAGGCCUAGCAGGCUGCAAAUGAUGGUCAGAAGGAAUCUCCCCUCUCCAGUGCUGUUCCUGCAGGGAGCAGAUACAGCUGGGAUUUGUCAGGAUCAUAUCACAGG